UAGGGAAUCUUCCGCAAUGGGCGAAAGCCUGACGGAGCAACGCCGCGUGAGUGAAGAAGGAUUUCGGUUCGUAAAGCUCUGUUGUUAGGGAAGAAUGAUUGUGUAGUAACUAUACACAGUAGAGACGGUACCUAACCAGAAAGCCACGGCUAACUACGUGCCAGCAGCCGCGGUAAUACGUAGGUGGCAAGCGUUGUCCGGAAUUAUUGGGCGUAAAGCGCGCGCAGGUGGUUUAAUAAGUCUGAUGUGAAAGCCCACGGCUCAACCGUGGAAGGUCAUUGGAAACUGUUAAACUUGAGUGCAGGAGAGAAAAGUGGAAUUCCUAGUGUAGCGGUGAAAUGCGUAGAGAUUAGGAGGAACACCAGUGGCGAAGGCGGCUUUUUGGCCUGUAACUGACACUGAGGCGCGAAAGCGUGGGGAGCAAACAGGAUUAGAUACCCUGGUAGUCCACGCCGUAAACGAUGAGUGCUAAGUGUUGGUCUCAUAAGAGAUCAGUGCUGCAGCUAACGCAUUAAGCACUCCGCCUGGGGAGUACGACCGCAAGGUUG
Molecule: ribosomal RNA, 548 nt
Filed under: uncultured bacterium
Lineage: Bacteria
Description: bacterial SSU rRNA
Rfam family: Bacterial small subunit ribosomal RNA
Source: RNAcentral